RNAcentral lists this ribosomal RNA (460 nucleotides) under uncultured bacterium. RNAcentral describes it as "partial 16S ribosomal RNA". It matches the Rfam family "Bacterial small subunit ribosomal RNA", at positions 338 to 795 of the family's 1533-position model. The record is from RNAcentral.
CCUACGUGCGGCAGCAGUGAGGAAUAUUGGUCAAUGGACGAGAGUCUGAGCCAGCCAAGUAGCGUGAAGGAUGACUGCCCUAUGGGUUGUAAACUUCUUUUAUAAAGGAAUAAAACGAGGCACGUGUGCCUUUUUGCAUGUACUUUAUGAAUAAGGAUCGGCUAACUCCGUGCCAGCAGCCGCGGUAAUACGGAGGAUCCGAGCAUUAUCCGGAUUUAUUGGGUUUAAAGGGAGCGUAGAUGGGUUGUUAAGUCAGUUGUGAAAGUUUGCGGUUCAACCGUAAAAUUGAAAUUGAUACUGGCAGUCUUGAGUACAGUUGAGGUAAGCGGAAUUCGUGGUGUAGCGGUGAAAUGCUUAGAUAUCACGAAGAACCCCGAUUGCGAAGGCAGCUUACUAAACUGUGACUGACAUUGAUGCUCGAAAGUGUGGGUAUCAAACAGGAUUAGAUACCCUAGUAGUC